This is a long non-coding RNA of Paramormyrops kingsleyae, 2669 nucleotides long. RefSeq lists it as uncharacterized. NCBI's taxonomy places the organism in Eukaryota, Metazoa, Chordata, Actinopteri, Osteoglossiformes, Mormyridae. The record is from RefSeq and is a predicted model, not a curated record.
AUAAAAGUAUGUUUAAAAGUCGUGUCUUCGGUUAAGGGUUCUUGGCAAUGUUGGUUUUGGAUUUACUUGUUUUAUCGUCUUCGGAGUGUGAAUUUUUUAAAUAAUCGUAAGAAAUUGUCUUUAGUUUCAAAAGUAGCACAGCUUAAUUCUGUUUAAGGCAGACUAAGCUAAAAAUUGCGACGCGGAUAUCGAUUGCAGACACGUAUUAUAAAUUUGGCAGCAAUCCACUAUUGUCAAUGCUGUGCUGAAUUAGCUCGACAGAAUUGAAUUGUGUUCACUAUGGAGUACGCUUUUGUCUUCAGCGAAAAGCGCCCCUCAGGAGAAGAGCUCCGGCAGUUUCGAUCGUUCGUGCAAAAGGAGCAGGUGCCCAGGCCCCCACCAAAUGUAAAAACACUGUUAGAUAGAUAGAUAAACAGGGGCAUGCUACAGGUUUACAAUUGCUACAGCGUUUUAAUAGUGAAAUUACAAUAGUUAUGUAUAUAUGAAGCCAUUUUAUGGGGACAUGUAGAUACAGUUUAGAAAUAAAUGAACUUCAUUGAUCCCUGAGAUAAAUUCUUGUCUGUAGAGCACAGAUAAACAUACAUUUAGAUUCCCUCAUUAUGUUCCUCCAUUCCAGGAUAAUACUACCCCCACAAACCCAUUAAAAUGGCUUUAUGAACACAAAGAUAAAGGCAAAAUGUUACAGGUGAACACUGAAACCCCCUUCGUAAUAUAAUGAGCUAAUCACAGGCUGGUAAGUUGUGUGAAUAAUUUAGCAUCUUAAAACUCAUUAAACAUAUCUUUGAGUUUCACUUUCUAUUCCGGUCCCUUCACCUGGUUAUGCUACGUCAUGUAUGAUAACACCCAGGUGACUCAGCGCUUUAUGUUUCAUGAUUGCUUGUUUUUGUCUUUUACUUCCUCUUCACUGAUACUAUCACCCAGCAUUGUGAGUAUCGAGUAAAGUGGGGGGAUGCUGGCUGAGAGGUGAACACCCUGAUGCCAAGGUAGACCAGUAGAGGUGGGGAAAUAUGUUUGUUGAAUUUUUGAGCUUAGUUUGCUGGUGUUUUGUGACCAGCCAGGACUUAUAGGGAAAUUGGUGUUAUAGUAUAUUAACUUGCUGCUUUUUGGGUGCGUUGUGCUUGCAGCAGAGUGUAUCUGUAGCGCUGUGAUAUCACCAACUGCGAGGUCUGGAGUUGUAUUCUAAGUGGCUUCAUUAGAAGCCAUUGGAGAUGUUGAUUUUAUUUAUCUCCCACACAUGAAGUCUAGGUUGCAGCAACCCUGACCGGAAUAGGUAUGUAGAAGUUGUGUGGAUAGAUAGAUGGAUGUGUAAAAUGUGAGGAGGUCGGAAGAUAAGCAUUAAAGCACGUAACAUAGCUGAAUAAGCGUAAAUUAAUUCAAAUUCUGAAGGAGAGUACAAGUCCUGCUUUUUCUGAAACUUUGGAACACAAACACAUUUCUUUAGCAAACUAAGUGCAUAAGAGUAAAUGCUUGAAAAUAUAUGUAAUUAAAUAAAUAAACCACUACAUGGAAGAGUUACAACCGAGAAACUGAAAACAAAAAGAAAAAAAAAAUGAGGUGAGGAAAACAAAACUUAAAGGCAUUUUUUUGAGUGUCAGGGGGAUGUUUACAUCAGAACUCAGAAAUGAAAAUUGUUCUCUGUUGUUCCACUUUACCAAUAUAACGCAGAGAGAUUGAAAGUCUAGACAUGGGAAGAAGAGAAUUGUGUCUGGGUGAAUGGACUGCAUAUGGGUGAUGUGAUUAUUGAGAUGCUGGAUAAGUUUAUUAAGCAGCUGGAUGGUUACAGGAACCAAACUGUGGUGAUGGCAUGUUGGUGAGGUCAUGAUGGACUUGUACUUUCUCCAUGUUUGCAGUUAGGUGGAGAGGUGACUGUCUCGUCAAGCAAUCGACUAACUCAUUACAGAUGAGGUUUCUGAUGCUUCUCACUAUGGAUUUAAUAUUGGAUUUAACUGAGCAAAUGUUUUUUGGACAUGAAUUAAUAAUGUAGUCAAGGCCACUUAAACGGAGGCCAAGUCAGUACCAAGACCAGAGUGUUACACUUAUGAUUGGUAAAUUGAAAUUUGUAAAUGCAACUAUUAGUAGGCAUUUUAGCUUCAAACAACAUACCAACGUGGCAGCACGUCAUUAUGUUUACAUAUAGUAGGUUUUCCUUAUACAAUGGGCGCAUUUUGUUUUGGCAGAGCUCAACAUCAGACACACAUACAAACUUUUGUGAAUAAAUAUUGCAAAAAUAUCAGUAAUUGUCUUCCUACUAAAUAGAAUGCUGUGUUUUGUUAUUUCUAGUAGAACUCAAUGUAUAACACACAUAUGACUAUAAUGUGUUAUGCCUUUUUAUGAAUAAUUAUAGCCGUGAUUAUAAUACUUUCUAAAUGUAGUAUAAUGCAUUAUGAAGGUAUGUAUAAUGCAAUAUGAUGACUGCUUUAAGUAAAUUGUUACCAAUGCUUUUUCCCAGUAAGGUACUGCAUGUAUCAUUGUGGAUAUGCGAUUUGUUUUCCAUCUAAUAUGAAUAAUACCAAUGUUUUAUAGAUUAUUAGGGGUGCUUUUACAUAGAAAAUGUUUAAAAUAUAUGCCUCAUUGCGCACAGGAUUAUUCUGGAAUAUUUUAGCGCACAUCGUUGCACCUUGGAUGACUGGAUCGAGUAAAUUCUCUCAAUUGCAAAGAUUUGCAAUCCA